Molecule: ribosomal RNA, 468 nt
Filed under: uncultured bacterium
Lineage: Bacteria
Description: partial 16S ribosomal RNA
Rfam family: Bacterial small subunit ribosomal RNA
Source: RNAcentral
GACGAACGCUGGCGGCGUGCUUAACACAUGCAAGUCGAACGGAAAGGCCCUGCUUUUGUGGGGUGCUCGAGUGGCGAACGGGUGAGUAACACGUGAGUAACCUGCCCUUGACUUUGGGAUAACUUCAGGAAACUGGGGCUAAUACCGGAUAGGAGCUCCUGCUGCAUGGUGGGGGUUGGAAAGUUUCGGCGGUUGGGGAUGGACUAGCGGCUUAUCAGCUUGUUGGUGGGGUAGUGGCUUACCAAGGCUUUGACGGGUAGCCGGCCUGAGAGGGUGACCGGCCACAUUGGGACUGAGAUACGGCCCAGACUCCUACGGGAGGCAGCAGUGGGGAAUAUUGCACAAUGGGCGGAAGCCUGAUGCAGCAACGCCGCGUACGGGAUGACGGCCUUCGGGUUGUAAACCGCUUUCGCCUGUGACGAAGCGUGAGUGACGGUAAUGGGUAAAGAAGCACCGGCUAACUACGUG